GACGAACGCUGGCGGCGUGCUUAACACAUGCAAGUCGAACGAAGUGGCGAACGGGUGAGUAACGCGUAAUCAACCUGCCCUUCAGAGGGGGACAACAGUUGGCAACGACUGCUAAUACCGCAUCCUGCCGGAGGUGAUUGCGUCUGAUUAGCUAGUGGGAGGGGUAACGGCCCACCAAGGCGAUGAUCAGUAGUCGGUCUGGGAGGAGGAAGGGGAACAGUGGGACUGGGACACGGCCCAGACUCCUACGGGAGGCAGCAGUGGGGAAUCGUGCGCAAUGGACGAAAGUCUGACGGAGCAACGCCGCGUGAGUGAUGACGGCCUUCGGGUUGUAAAGCUCUGUUAAUCGGGACGCGGUACCGGAAUAGAAAGCCACGGCUAACUACGUGCCAGCAGCCGCGGUAAUAC
RNAcentral lists this ribosomal RNA (408 nucleotides) under uncultured bacterium. RNAcentral's name for it is "partial 16S ribosomal RNA". It matches the Rfam family "Bacterial small subunit ribosomal RNA", at positions 28 to 526 of the family's 1533-position model. The record is from RNAcentral.